GGUUAAGCGACUAAGCGUACACGGUGGAUGCCCUGGCAGUCAGAGGCGAUGAAGGACGUGCUAAUCUGCGAUAAGCGUCGGUAAGGUGAUAUGAACCGUUAUAACCGGCGAUUUCCGAAUGGGGAAACCCAGUGUGAUUCGUCACACUAUCAUUAACUGAAUCCAUAGGUUAAUGAGGCGAACCGGGGGAACUGAAACAUCUAAGUACCCCGAGGAAAAGAAAUCAACCGAGAUUCCCCCAGUAGCGGCGAGCGAACGGGGAGCAGCCCAGAGCCUGAAUCAGUGUGUGUGUUAGUGGAAGCGUCUGGAAAGGCGUGCGAUACAGGGUGACAGCCCCGUACACAAAAAUGCACAUGCUGUGAGCUCGAUGAGUAGGGCGGGACACGUGGUAUCCUGUCUGAAUAUGGGGGGACCAUCCUCCAAGGCUAAAUACUCCUGACUGACCGAUAGUGAACCAGUACCGUGAGGGAAAGGCGAAAAGAACCCCGGCGAGGGGAGUGAAAAAGAACCUGAAACCGUGUACGUACAAGCAGUGGGAGCACGCUUAGGCGUGUGACUGCGUACCUUUUGUAUAAUGGGUCAGCGACUUAUAUUCUGUAGCAAGGUUAACCGAAUAGGGGAGCCGAAGGGAAACCGAGUCUUAACUGGGCGUUAAGUUGCAGGGUAUAGACCCGAAACCCGGUGAUCUAGCCAUGGGCAGGUUGAAGGUUGGGUAACACUAACUGGAGGACCGAACCGACUAAUGUUGAAAAAUUAGCGGAUGACUUGUGGCUGGGGGUGAAAGGCCAAUCAAACCGGGAGAUAGCUGGUUCUCCCCGAAAGCUAUUUAGGUAGCGCCUCGUGAAUUCAUCUCCGGGGUAGAGCACUGUUUCGGCAAGGGGGUCAUCCCGACUUACCAACCCGAUGCAAACUGCGAAUACCGGAGAAUGUUAUCACGGGAGACACACGGCGGGUGCUAACGUCCGUCGUGAAGAGGGAAACAACCCAGACCGCCAGCUAAGGUCCCAAAGUCAUGGUUAAGUGGGAAACGAUGUGGGAAGGCCCAGACAGCCAGGAUGUUGGCUUAGAAGCAGCCAUCAUUUAAAGAAAGCGUAAUAGCUCACUGGUCGAGUCGGCCUGCGCGGAAGAUGUAACGGGGCUAAACCAUGCACCGAAGCUGCGGCAGCGACGCUGAUGCGUUGUUGGGUAGGGGAGCGUUCUGUAAGCCUGUGAAGGUGUACUGUGAGGUAUGCUGGAGGUAUCAGAAGUGCGAAUGCUGACAUAAGUAACGAUAAAGCGGGUGAAAAGCCCGCUCGCCGGAAGACCAAGGGUUCCUGUCCAACGUUAAUCGGGGCAGGGUGAGUCGACCCCUAAGGCGAGGCCGAAAGGCGUAGUCGAUGGGAAACAGGUUAAUAUUCCUGUACUUGGUGUUACUGCGAAGGGGGGACGGAGAAGGCUAUGUUGGCCGGGCGACGGUUGUCCCGGUUUAAGCGUGUAGGCUGGUUUUCCAGGCAAAUCCGGAAAAUCAAGGCUGAGGCGUGAUGACGAGGCACUACGGUGCUGAAGCAACAAAUGCCCUGCUUCCAGGAAAAGCCUCUAAGCAUCAGGUAACAUCAAAUCGUACCCCAAACCGACACAGGUGGUCAGGUAGAGAAUACCAAGGCGCUUGAGAGAACUCGGGUGAAGGAACUAGGCAAAAUGGUGCCGUAACUUCGGGAGAAGGCACGCUGAUAUGUAGGUGAAGUCCCUCGCGGAUGGAGCUGAAAUCAGUCGAAGAUACCAGCUGGCUGCAACUGUUUAUUAAAAACACAGCACUGUGCAAACACGAAAGUGGACGUAUACGGUGUGACGCCUGCCCGGUGCCGGAAGGUUAAUUGAUGGGGUCAGCGCAAGCGAAGCUCUUGAUCGAAGCCCCGGUAAACGGCGGCCGUAACUAUAACGGUCCUAAGGUAGCGAAAUUCCUUGUCGGGUAAGUUCCGACCUGCACGAAUGGCGUAAUGAUGGCCAGGCUGUCUCCACCCGAGACUCAGUGAAAUUGAACUCGCUGUGAAGAUGCAGUGUACCCGCGGCAAGACGGAAAGACCCCGUGAACCUUUACUAUAGCUUGACACUGAACAUUGAGCCUUGAUGUGUAGGAUAGGUGGGAGGCUUUGAAGUGUGGACGCCAGUCUGCAUGGAGCCGACCUUGAAAUACCACCCUUUAAUGUUUGAUGUUCUAACGUUGACCCGUAAUCCGGGUUGCGGACAGUGUCUGGUGGGUAGUUUGACUGGGGCGGUCUCCUCCUAAAGAGUAACGGAGGAGCACGAAGGUUGGCUAAUCCUGGUCGGACAUCAGGAGGUUAGUGCAAUGGCAUAAGCCAGCUUGACUGCGAGCGUGACGGCGCGAGCAGGUGCGAAAGCAGGUCAUAGUGAUCCGGUGGUUCUGAAUGGAAGGGCCAUCGCUCAACGGAUAAAAGGUACUCCGGGGAUAACAGGCUGAUACCGCCCAAGAGUUCAUAUCGACGGCGGUGUUUGGCACCUCGAUGUCGGCUCAUCACAUCCUGGGGCUGAAGUAGGUCCCAAGGGUAUGGCUGUUCGCCAUUUAAAGUGGUACGCGAGCUGGGUUUAGAACGUCGUGAGACAGUUCGGUCCCUAUCUGCCGUGGGCGCUGGAGAACUGAGGGGGCUGCUCCUAGUACGAGAGGACCGGAGUGGACGCAUCACUGGUGUUCGGGUUGUCAUGCCAAUGGCACUGCCCGGUAGCUAAAUGCGGAAGAGAUAAGUGCUGAAAGCAUCUAAGCACGAAACUUGCCCCGAGAUGAGUUCUCCCUGACUCCUUGAGAGUCCUGAAGGAACGUUGAAGACGACGACGUUGAUAGGCCGGAUGUGUAAGCGCAGCGAUGCGUUGAGCUAACCGGUACUAAUGAACCGUGAGGCUUAACCUU
Molecule: ribosomal RNA, 2902 nt
Filed under: Escherichia coli
Lineage: Bacteria; Pseudomonadati; Pseudomonadota; Gammaproteobacteria; Enterobacterales; Enterobacteriaceae
Description: 23S ribosomal RNA
Rfam family: Bacterial large subunit ribosomal RNA
Source: RNAcentral